GAUGAAGAACGUAGCGAAAUGCGAUAAGUAAUGUGAAUUGCAGAAUUCAGUGAAUCAUCGAGUCUUUGAACGCACAUUGCGCCCCCUGGUAUUCCGGGGGGCAUGCCUGUCCGAGCGUCAUUGCUGCCCUCAAGCACGGCUUGUGUGUUGGGCCCCGUCCUCCGAUCCCGGGGGACGGGCCCGAAAGGCAGCGGCGGCACCGCGUCCGGUCCUCGAGCGUAUGGGGCUUUGUCACCCGCUCUGUAGGCCCGGCCGGCGCUUGCCGAUCAACCCAAAUUUUUUAUCCAGGUUGACCUCGGAUCAGGUAGGGAUACCUGCUGAACUUAAGCAUAUCAAUAAGCGGAGGA
This 347-nucleotide unclassified non-coding RNA is filed under the name soil metagenome. RNAcentral's name for it is "partial contains 5.8S ribosomal RNA, internal transcribed spacer 2, and large subunit ribosomal RNA". The stretch from base 1 to 120 matches the Rfam family "5.8S ribosomal RNA", at positions 35 to 154 of the family's 154-position model. The record is from RNAcentral.